RNA transcript from Halichondria panicea, 1859 nucleotides. It is a transcript of the gene named platelet-activating factor acetylhydrolase-like, with no coding region annotated. The record is from RefSeq and is a predicted model, not a curated record. The transcript has 8 exons. Lineage: Eukaryota; Metazoa; Porifera; Demospongiae; Suberitida; Halichondriidae.
CGGACCGUGCAGCCAUUAAUAAUUAUGGACUUUGAACUUUUGGUCACUCAUAAAAAUUAAUGGUGGACCUGGCCGGCUAGCUCUGGCAUGCAAUAAAGGUUCACGUUUCAUCAGCUAUAUUUAUAUCCUAGGCUGAUGUAAUCUUUUUGGUACAAACGUGCAUAUAAACAGGUUGUUUUGUCGCUAUAAUCAUUCUUUUAUUAUAUCAACAGGUUCAUCAUGGCAGCCAGUGCAGUCCUCCCGUCCCCCUCUGGCCAGUACCCUGUUGGCUGUGCUCACCUUAUGCACAAAUUUGAGGAUGAUGCGGACACCCUGUUAGUGCGACUGUUUUACCCCUGUCAAGAGGGAGGAGGGGGACGUCCGUACACACAGUGGGUCCCUCAUGAGAGAUAUGUCAAGGGAUACAACGAAUACUGGAAGUUUAUGUUGCCAGAGAGCGGAAUAUCUACUGAGCCACAGAUCCCUGCACUGUAUGGAGCACCAUUGCAAGCUGAGGCUAGUACCGCUACGAGUCAGUCAGCAGUGCUAGUGUAUUCCCAUGGGCUUGGUGCAAUGAGCAUGACCUACUCUGCCAUUUGUUGUGACCUUGCCUCUCACGGCUAUGUGGUCGCCUCAGUGGAACACAGAGAUUGCUCAGCAUGUGUGUCUCAUCUGCGAGUGCCCGCGUCAGGUGGUGGUGGGCUCACGGAUGAGUGGUUGGAACACCACACCCUGAAGGAGGGGGAAGAGCAAUACCCGUUCAGAAACAAGCAGGUAAAAAAACGGUCUAGUGAUGCAAGAAGAGCCUUGGACUUGUUGCGACUGCUCAACGAGGGAGCACCGGUGGGGAACUUGUUAGAGGUGGACCUCGACUUUGGUCAGUUCAAAGGUCGUCUUGAUUUGAACAUGGCUGGUAUGAUGGGUCACUCAUUCGGGGGAGCCACUGUCAUCCAGACACUCAGCGAGGACCAACGAUUCAAGUGUGGUGUUUGCCUAGACGUCUGGAUGCUCUCAGUGCACAAAAAUCAUGAGAAUGGGUUCACGAUUCAACAGCCCCUCAUAUUUAUAAAUAGCUCUGACUUUCAUUGGAAAGAAAACAUAGAACAAAUGACAAAGAUGACCAAACCUUCUAAUGAGCAAGGGCUCUCCGUAGCCAGGAUGAUAACACUGAUGGGUACCAAUCAUUACUACCAGAGUGACGUGUUGUUCACAUUUCCAUCUCGAGCAGACAAAUCGUUUACAAGCACUCUGGAUGUGGUCACUGCUCACAGAGUCAACAUGGACGUCAGCCAUGCAUUCUUGAAGAGGCAUCUACUCAUGGCUCUAAAACAGCCGUGGGAACAUAUAACUUUAUUGGAAAGUCUCUUUUUACUGGGUGUGGUCAGUCAUUAGCAAGUACUACACGAGGCUCAUGGACUAGGCGUGUUAUAAAUUGCUGAAAGAGAUGAUGUCUCGAGGAAACACAGCUUUGGGAGUUACCCGGCAAAAAUGUGCUUAAUAGCCUUGUUCAUAGGGCGUAACGUGGAUAGUUUUCAAGGCUCCACUGCAGAUUCAAUGUAAAAUCAUCACGUGCACCACUCCGUUUCCUAUCCCUUUAACUCUUCAAUCUAUGGUUCAACCAACUAAUAUUCGAGCUACCAGGGUCCAAUUCCCAAUCUUGACGGGUGUGAGGGUCAUUCUGAGCAUGUCAUGUUCGGUUCCAAUGUUGCCAUCACCCCGUCCGAGCAGUCGACAUGUGACUGAUUGUUAUCAUACGAUCAUGUAUGUACAUGGAACUAAAUAUAUUCAGUCAUUUUAUUCUGUGCAUGUAUAUGCAUGCUAUAGGUCCUGAUAAAUAAUUAUUAUGCUCAGAAUAAUUUUAGCAUAAUAGGUGUCUACUG